Molecule: ribosomal RNA, 879 nt
Filed under: Laccaria versiforma
Lineage: Eukaryota; Fungi; Basidiomycota; Agaricomycetes; Agaricales; Hydnangiaceae
Description: LSU rRNA
Rfam family: Eukaryotic large subunit ribosomal RNA
Source: RNAcentral
CUAACAGGAUUCCCCUAGUAACUGCGAGUGAAGCGGGAAAAGCUCAAAUUUAAAAUCUGGCAGUCUUUGGCUGUCCGAGUUGUAAUCUAGAGAAGUAUUAUCCGCGCUGGACCGUGUACAAGUCUCCUGGAAUGGAGCAUCAUAGAGGGUGAGAAUCCCGUCUUUGACAUGGACUGCCAGGGCUUUGUGAUAUGCUCUCGAAGAGUCGAGUUGUUUGGGAAUGCAGCUCAAAAUGGGUGGUAAAUUCCAUCUAAAGCUAAAUAUUGGCGAGAGACCGAUAGCGAACAAGUACCGUGAGGGAAAGAUGAAAAGAACUUUGGAAAGAGAGUUAAACAGUACGUGAAAUUGCUGAAAGGGAAACGCUUGAAGUCAGUCGCGUUGGCCAGGGAUCAACCUUGCUUUUUUUGCUUGGCUUACUUUCUGGUCAAUGGGUCAGCAUCAAUUUUGACUGGUGGAAAAAGUUCAAGGGAAUGUGGCAUCUUUGGAUGUGUUAUAGCCUUUGUUCAUAUACAUUGGUUGGGAUUGAGGAACUCAGCACGCCGAAAGGCCGGGUUUUUAACCACGUACGUGCUUAGGAUGCUGGCAUAAUGGCUUUAAUCGACCCGUCUUGAAACACGGACCAAGGAGUCUAACAUGCCUGCGAGUGUUUGGGUGAAAAACCCGAGCGCGUAAUGAAAGUGAAAGUUGAGAUCCCUGUCGUGGGGAGCAUUGACGCCCGGAUCUGACCUUUUGUGACGAUUCUGCGGUAGAGCAUGUAUGUUGGGACCCGAAAGAUGGUGAACUAUGCCUGAAUAGGGUGAAGCCAGAGGAAACUCUGGUGGAGGCUCGUAGCGAUUCUGACGUGCAAAUCGAUCGUCAAAUUUGGGUAUAGGGGCGAAA